UACGAAGGACCCGAGCGUUAUCCGGAUUUAUUGGGUUUAAAGGGUGCGUAGGCGGAUUAGUAAGUCAGUGGUGAAAGCCCAUCGCUCAACGGUGGAACUGCCAUUGAUACUGCUAGUCUUGAGUAUGGUUGAGGUGGGCGGAAUGUGUCAUGUAGCGGUGAAAUGCUUAGAUAUGACACAGAACACCAAUUGCGAAGGCAGCUCGCUAAACCAUAACUGACGCUGAGGCACGAAAGCGUGGGGAGCAAAC
Molecule: ribosomal RNA, 250 nt
Filed under: uncultured bacterium
Lineage: Bacteria
Description: partial 16S ribosomal RNA
Rfam family: Bacterial small subunit ribosomal RNA
Source: RNAcentral